Long non-coding RNA from Cygnus olor (mute swan), 11481 nucleotides. RefSeq lists it as uncharacterized. The record is from RefSeq and is a predicted model, not a curated record. The transcript is spliced from 3 exons. Lineage: Eukaryota; Metazoa; Chordata; Aves; Anseriformes; Anatidae.
AUUGCUGUCUGUUCCAGGAAGAAAUUAAAUUAUGAUACUUGCAUGAAGUCUUUUGUGUGUGUGUGUUGUGCAUAGUCUACAAAGUAGCUGGGUAAAAGAUUUCAGCAGACACUCCUGUUCGAAACACAGGCAGGAAAUCAAGAAUAUUUGGAGGCAUCUUCUCAAAAUAGAAUUGUCCUGAAUUGACAUCUUCGGGUCAACAAGAAGUUGAUUUCUGCAUUUCAGGCAUAGGUGUUUCCAUAUAUACUUACCUGCCAAUCCUUCUAAUUAGCAGAUUACUUGGCAAAACCAGUAGGACUCAGCAAAAUUAUCUUUUUAAUCUACACUUGCCAAAAGAGUUCUGGUUUCCAGAUAUCCUGAAUAGGAUAGUCCUUAAGGACUUCUCUGCAUUCGGAGCCACAGAACAAAGGAACAGUUUGAUAUCUGGACUUAAAGUUGUUUCCUCUCCUAUCCUGAAUGCUGGAUGGCUGUUAAGUAUAGGAACUCCUGCUUUUCACUUGGUCUUGAUCAGUGGUAAGAAGGCCUAUGAGGCAAAUUUAAUUGGUGAAGGAAAUGAGAUUUUCCUCCUAGAGCUAUGAAAUAUCUCAAAUACAUUUAAGGAAUCGUUGCGUGACAUUUUAAACUAUCUUCUGGCUUUAGAGCAGUAGCCAAUCCUGAAAGGUUGAAAAGAGUUCAGAAGUCUGUACUCAGUGGCUUCUCCCACCUCACUGAUUCUUGAAGGAUCCAAGCAAGGUAAAUAUGACAGUUCUCCUAUCUCAGACUUAAACCUGUGCCUGGACCCAUCAGCCCCCUCCUUGGCAACAGCUUUAUGCUCUCAAUGACUUCUGUCAGCUAAAAUGACCUCCUGGAGGCUGUCACCAGUGAGAGGAGCAAAGGAGGAGCUGAUCCUUCUCUUCUAAGUGGCUACAGAGCACGUAAUGACAUCCUCUGAUUUCUGCCAACAGUGGUUACAGGGCUCCAUCUGUACUAGAAAAUCCAUCUUUCCGUAUUCUUCCCUCAGACCACACAUUCCAGGUGGCAGUGUCAUCUCUCCACGCUUGGGGUGUAACCACUGCCCUGUUAACUACGAAACGUGAAAGUAUUUUAAGACAUUCAUUUGACAUUUCCUACCUAGUUGUAUUCCCCACUGCAGGUCUGUUUUAAGAUUGUUAUGGCAGGUCACAGUCCAGGUAAAGCAUCGGAUCUUGAUCUGUCAGCAGCAUCUGCGUUGGGAAUUUCACCAAGGAAAUUAUUUAUCUUAGGCAUCUACAGAGCAUAUACAUGAAACUCUGUCUUCCCAAUUUGAUGGAUGUCACGUAGAGUGUAUAACUACUUUUGGUGGGAAGAAACGUAAGUGAUGUCCCAACCACAACCACAAGACUCUGCCAUGGAAGAAACUGAUGAUUGCUGUGGAGUACACUGUGAUGGAAAUACGGCGAUGUAUUGCAUGCAGGUAGCUGCCAGGAGGAGGAUCUUAGAGCACGUUACCUAUCAGUAAUUGAUUAGUGCUGGAUAUGUGCAUAUCCCAGCCAGCCUCCCAUUCUCUUUUUGUUACAGUCCUGCACACCUAGAAAUUCUCAUACACAUAGGGUGCACUGCGUGUGCUAUUGCCCAAAUUAAAAUCUUAAGGAGCCUGAAGGCUUAUAUGUGCUAUACCACAUAAAUAAAUGUUCAGCUCUGGCAGAUAUGCAUUUACACCUCUCCUAGAACUCUCGUUGCUAUAUCAUAAGUAAAUUUUCAUUCAUUCUGAGGCAUAAAAAGCUUUUCUACAGGUUUCUCGUGCAAUUAUAACAAUAUCUGAUAGCGUAAGGAUGUUCAAUCAUACAAAUAAAUAGCUUGUUUUAAAGCUAUGCCUGCACAGCAAGUGCAGAUAUUUAAGAACCCAAGUAAAAUUUUCAAUGCGUUGCCAGGCAAACAGUUUUAAGAUGGAGGUAAACCCUCAUCCCUAAAAGCAAAAAUAUGGACCAAUCUACACAGAAAUAAAAAUUGGCAAGAAAAGAUCACAUUUGCUCUCGAAGAAUUCCGUACAUUUCCAGAUUACAGCCAAGCAAAACCCAGGUACACAUCUGUCUCCAAUCUGCAUACUUGCAGGAUGUAUCUUCUGCCAAUUCAUCCCUUAAAUAAUUUCUGGGUAAUCAUAUUGUUGUCAUAUACAGUUGCUCGAACUUAUUCAGUGUCUCAUAAAUAAUAACAGUAAACAAAGCCGGGGAGUAGAUAUCGCACAGGGUGAUGGGAAAAUAAGGACUAAGGAGGCUAAAAAAAAAGUAAGAAAGACUGGGAAAAUAGAGAAGAGCAGAAGGAGAGCAAAAGAAUAAGCUCUGAGGAAAGUCAGUGCCAAUAAAUGUAAUACCCUACUCUCAAGAAAAAGAGAAUAAAGCACAGAUGGAAAUGGGAGGAUAUGUUCAUCCAAAUCCAUUAUAGGAAAGCAAGCUGAUUGUUUCUGUUAUGUUCUUUACGAUGUUUUAACACUACUUCUGUAUAAAAUCAUGCACUGUCAUUGGUGAGGGAAAGGUAUACCUGGAAUUCAGAUGGUCCCUUAAAAGGAAGCAUGUGCUGUACAAAUAGUGAAGCACAGAGACAGGAAAUAAACGAUGGUGGCCAUUCCUAGAGAACUCACAGGCCUUCUGAAAGCUAGGGAUCGAAUUCAGACUUCAUUCUCCAGUUUAGUUAAAUAAGCUACAACUGUUAGCAGCAGGUUUGUUUUCUUGUAAGUCAAACUCCAGUCUUACCUCUGCCCUUUUCUUUCAGUGAAGGACCAGCACGUACAUAUGAACAUAGAAUUAUUUUAUUUUCUGUAAUGAUCAAACCCAAAUGUUACUUUACCUUUGCCAGCUUUGUGUAGGGUGAUGUGCCAUCUUGCACAUUUAUUUUCCUGGAGUGAUUCCCAGAAGUAUGCUAUGCUUUUUCUUGCUCAUGUCUCACUAGCUUUAUUUAUGAGUUGUGUACAUCAGGUUUUCAGUCCCUGGGGACAGGCCUACACAGGAAACCUGUAGACCAUAUUUAAUACAUGCAAGUAUGAGAGUAGUAAAAAGCAUGAUGAUACUCCAAAUGAUCUAAUUCAAAAUUUCAGCUAGAUCAUGGCUAGGUUGGUGUCCGUGUUUUUAAACCACAAGCACCUCUAUCUGCUUUGUCACAUAGGAGGAAAAGAUGUGGUAAAGAUCAGUAAGUCUAAAAGAAAUUUUACUUAGCGCUCACUGAAGCUCUUCAGCUGCUAAAUAUUUAGAAAUUAAGGUCUCACAAUACACCUUUGUAAUAGUUAUGUAGUGCUAGAGGACUGAAAAAUGAAAUACCAUAGCCUGAUUCUCUAUUUGGAAUACCUAGCCUCAGUAAGCCUCAUGUUUUCAAAAGCCUCUAUUAAUUCUUGUGGAUUUGAUGAAUUCGUUUUUCUAAAACUGGACACAUGGAGCUCAGGGGAAACAAAUUUAACAUAAAAAAAAACAUCCUGGCUUUUUUCAUUUCUAGCUGCUUAGUAGAAUUAAGAGUAAAUGAUUCUUACCUGAAUUAAGUUUUAAGUGAAGUGGGGGAAAAAAAUCUUUCGUGUUCAACAUCCGUAUAUAAUGUGAAAUAUCAAACUUACAAGCAGAAUUGAAGAGAAUGCUUUGAGGAGGUAUGUUCAGUUCCAAAUAUCAAAACGUGAUUAAGGACAAUGAGCCAACAUUUCUAGGAGACUUCCCUGUCAAGUGGAAACAAAGAGCAAAUUUUCACUUGAUUUACAGAAUUACAAUUAAGUCAUCUCCGAUGACUGAACCUAAUAGCAGUAUCAUAAUUUUGAAGUUAUUGAUUCUUACUGAUUGCAUAGAAAAUAUAUUUUUAAAGAUAACUUUUUUCUCACUUAAUAGGUGCAUGAAUUGGCUGGAAAAUAAAUCAAGAUAAGGCCCUCUUUCUGCCAUGCCAUCACAGCUGGAGACAAGCAUUUUGCUGAUGAAAGCUGAUUGGUAUCAUAUUAUCCCCUUGAUUACACCUGUGCAAUCCCAUUAAUUGAGAAAUAGCGUGACCUGGGGAAACGUAAUGGCUGGUAACGUUGUAUAGGAAAGCUGAUCUACAAAGCUUGAUGUACAUGUUAAACUGCAGGUGUAUUUAUAGGCUGGCUGCCUGGAAAAAAAACACAACACACAUCCCCCAGAAUGUGUGUGAGGUGCCAUAACCACCGGACCGUUCCUCAGAACAGAACUGAUGGAUAAAGCCCUCCUUCACUGGAAAGGCUGUUAGGCAUUGGGAUGGGCUGCCCAGAGAAGUGGUUGAGUCACCAUCCCUGAAGGUCUUUAAGAGACGUUUAGAUGUAGAGCUCAGUGAUAUGGUUUAGUGGAGGACUUGUUAGUGUUAGGUCAGAGGUUGGACUGGGUGAUCUUGGAGGUCUCUUCCAACCUAGAUGAUUCUGCGAUUCUGUGAUUCACUCCGCAGUGUGACUGCAGAGCAGGAGGGAGAGGCAAGGGCUGUAGUGUGGUAAUGGAGGUAGCGCUGCCCGCUUGGUUCCACCACGUGUCAAGGUAGAUGUCACAUCUGCUGGUGAUGCUCAGAACGGAUGGGCGCUGAGGUGGCACGCUGCUUACCACCCUUCACCCUCUUGUUUCUCAUCCCACCUGACCUCCCGAAGCAAUUCCCUGUAAGAUGGUUCUCCCCGUGACCCUAAGGAACAGAUUGCUCAGGGGAUUACAUGCAGCGAGGUAGCCUGAGGACAGCGCUACUGAGGCUGGCUUUGCAGCUGCUGUCAAGUCAGCUACCGCUUGGUGAGGUCUGGGGCAAAGCCGGAGCAAGGAGCUAAAAGGAAAGGUAUUAUCCAUGUCCCCAGCACUCCUUUUCUGAUUUCAGGGUCCCAAGUAAAACCAGUUACCUCACUUAAAGCCCACCAUUCACGUAUCUCUCCCCGUGCUCGUUCAGUACCGUAUGCAGCUGAAAUGGUCGCCCCCUCCGUCCUGACACCUGAACAUAGUAAUGUUGCCCAUGGUAAUGGGAGCACGCGGGUAUUGCUGGUCAGGGAGCAGAGGCUGCUGGGGUCUUCCCAUCACCUCGGUCCCAGGACCUGAAGAAGACUUUCUCAAAGGCACCCCGUCCAUCGUACACUUGCUGCAGCCACCAGCUGAGCCUGGGAUAUAGCACUGGCCUUGGAGAAGCAGCGCCACAAUUUCUGCCAGCUGAUGGGGCUGGAAAAAGCACAUCCAUCCCAUGGAACAACAAACUGGGGAGAGUUCAGAGCUGUCAGAUGCUGUUGUCCUACCGUGGUCAUCGGUCCUGGAGGGGUUGGCCAAAUCUGCAAGAGAUGCUUCUGAGCGGGGCUUGCUCUUUGACCUCUGCCACUGUUGCCAGUGAAAUGAGGUUUACCCUGCGGCAAUUCAAGCUGACUUAGAUUUUUAGUUUUAAAAAUAAAUCAAACUCAUGAGUUUAUGGUCAGUUCUUGUUUGUUUGGUUGGUUUUGUUGUUUUUUUUUUUUUGGGGGGGGGUAUUUGGUUUUCUUUAAUAAGAAAAAAAUCACUCAGAGGCAUGACAAGGCGUGCUUUGCGAAUGGUUACGCUUAGCUGUAAUCUGCCUGGUGGAGUGCUCAGCGAAUUGCAGGAAGAAAAAUGCACUAGUUUGAACUGGAUUUGGGAGCGAGGAUAUUUCGAUUUGGGGCAGCCGAAGGAAAAUUGUAUAACACUGUUGUGCUGUCCUGAGCAGGAGAAGAAGCCAAAGAAUUGCAUGCUUUUUCCAUCUUUGUAAUCAGUUUGUUAUGCACAGAGCAAUGCCGUGGGAUUAAGCAUUUUGUCUGCUGGGUUUCCCCUGGCAGCAUGUGAAGAAGUUCAUUAUAAGUGCUUAUCACAUGAUCCACUUAAUCAAACCACUGGAACUUGGAGAAUAAGUCAUUCUAACAAGACCCGUCAGAGCUGCCUUAUAAACCACUUACUGAUAUACUCUUCCUGGGUUAGUGUACAAUGAGUUUCCUUGUACCUCAGGGUACGACGCAGGAAGUUCAUUAUCCCCAGUCCGAAUUCAGACGUGAAGAAAGGAAGCAGGGCUUACAAAGAGGCGACAGAUAAUUUGCGCAGGAUUCUGGUUAGCCUCUCAAAUCCCUUGCGUAGCGGGACUGCGAGCUCUUCGUCAGAACAGCCUUCUGGUUUUCCGUGCUACGCACGGGGCAGCUAUCUCCAUGGCUGCCUUUAGUGUUGUGAAAUACAGAUGACACAGGAGAAAAUACUUUCCGUCAUUUGAUUAGAUGCUUAAAUGGAAGCACGUGGGGAAAAAAAAAAAAAGAAAGAAAGAAAUCAGAAGCGAAACCAUGCUUUUAGCAGGGCAAUAGUACAUAUUCUGCGUAACAGUAGCAGAGCCGACAUCCGGCUGAUGCAAAACGCCUUGAGAGCCUGCUAAAUCCCAGCGUGUGCUAGGGUUUGGAGUACUUAGACGUGUGGCAAGCUAGGAGCACACACACAUGCUGUCUGCAGCUCGUGUUUGUGUGCUCCGCGCCUGCUGAGGUAAGAUGCCUUUCCCGGUGAUGUACCUAGGGACUGUUCUGGAUGCAGGGAACCGGCAGGUGGAGGCUCCUCGAAGGCACUCGUUUUGCUGAGCCCUGCCACAAGCGGUGUGACACUAGACUUUCUGGCACUCCCUGGGUUUUGUCACCGAUGUUAUUUCACGGCCAGUAUCUCACGAGGGCAUGCAGAAGCUUGCCUUUCGGCUGCCUGCUGAAGGACAGUCUGGGUGCCACCACGUACGUUGGCUUGGACCAGCCUUAGUGUAGAAAUGCCCAGAUCAUUUUCCCAAGCAGCACCCUGUCUACGGGCAGUAGUGCUCCUCAGCUGCACCUCUUCUUUCACCUCCCAAGCUCACUUGAAAGCAGCAUAGUGUCACACCAGAUUGAAGGUUGCUUUGCGUGGGGACGCACAGGCUGAGCCUGACGUGGGUCUCCAGAUGAAUUUUUUGUGCUGGAAAUUGCCAUUGGAACGAGAAGCAUCAAGUAGGUUGAUGCAACAUGCUCUGUAAGGCAUGAAAAACAGGGAGGUGUGCAGGGCUGAGUAGCACGGGCAACAGAAACAAAAAAGCAAGCUGUUUUGAUGGGGAUUAUGCUUUGGAUGGGGAUUAUGCUUUAUUUCCUAGGUUAGUUCCAGUGGAGAGGUCACAAAGUUCAUGCCAUUGUCCAGGUACCACUUUGAGAAAACAGUGAACCCUGUCUCUCCCGUGUCAGUGCUAUGUGAAGUCCAGCCAGCCCAGAGCCUUAAAAUUCAGCCUGCUGAUUACUGCUGGGCCCAGCCCAGAGUGAGCACGGGGCCUGGACUGUGUCCGCCAACAGACAUGAGGUUUGGGAUGCACGGAUUUCAUUCCUACUGGCAGAGUUAGGCGGUGAUGCUGUGUCGCUGCUCUCCUUGUACUUUAACCCUGGCUGUCUUGCCUCGGUAAAACCACAGGUCUCUUGGCCACAGAUGUACUGAUGCACCAAGCUGGCAUUGCUAGGGCUGCGUACCAGCAGGGAUGGUGCUGCUUCAGUAGGUUGGUUUCCAGCUGGUAAGUUAAAGGAGGACACACGAGCCUGAAGGAAAAUACCAUUUUGCUGUCUUUUUCUUCUUCAUUUUAAAAAUAGGUAAAAUAAUUUAACAUUUACUCUUUCAACAUAAAACAUGUAACAAAAAAGAUGAAUCUAUACUAGCUGGUUAGUUUGGCUACUUCCUUCAAUUUGAUUACGUUAUAAUUGAUUUCUUCCUUCUCACCUUUUUAUCACACUCCCCAUCUGUCUUCCCAGUUUCUGUUGUGCCUAUUCAAAGACCCCAUCUCAUCUCUUCUGGGACCGUCUCACUCCUGGGUUUCUGCUAUUUCAGCUCUGACACCAGACGGUGCUUCAGGAAAAAAGCAUCUCAGUUCUAAGAGUGGAAGGAAAAUGGACCCAUAAAAAUACCAAUUAUUUGUAUGUGUAUAGUACUUGUCAGUAAGCCUCAAAUAACUUUACCUAAGUGACCCGUUUGCUCUCAUCUCCACUCCUCAGGUAAGGCACCUGGAGCAGAGCGAGUUGAUGGCGUUCUGCUGUCUGCAGCAAUUCGGUAGUGAAAUGGAGAUAAAUGUUCUUCUUCUAAAUGAUUUCUCAGUGCCUUAUCCAUUGCCCUGUACAUGGGGAAAGACACUUUUGAGCAUCUGAAAUCGUUAUAGGCAGGGAUAUCUUUAGUCGUCUUUAAAGAGAAAUGGUCGGUUGUCCUCUGAGCGCUGUUAAUUUGGCAUCGAAGAACAAUUGGUUUUGGUGUAAAUACUGAGACUGGAUGUCAGUGUCUGCAUGUCCUGGCUGGGGGGUAGCUCUGGGAGGAAGGCUGCAAUGGGUGCUGUGUGCUUGUGGCUGCGUGCACUCCUGUACGUGAGCGAGGUGCACACAGCAUCCACUGAGAGUUUAAGCGAUGCUACCAGACCCUAACCCAAGUGGUUUUGGUCAAUACCAAGCCAGGCUGAAUUCUCUCUGCCAGCCUAGGGAUGAAAGGCUCUUUAAAUGCAUUAGCUAAUUCUGGGCUGUUCAGCUCAAUCCCCACUAGUGUUAUCUUUUUAGAAGUCUUUCUCACUAAAUUGCUUCCUUUGAAGACCGCAGGCUCUUUAACAGCAUACUGCAGCACCCGCUGCUUGCUGAAAAUCCCGAGGCCAGCGCACUGGAGCACUGCGAUGCCAAACACGCCCGUCACAAAGUGCCGCAUUUAGGGGGCUUUCACUGGAGGUAGCUGAUGAAAAACAGAACGGACACAUUGUAAGAACCGUCAGCCCAAGGAACAGAAGAUAGCUUUGAAGGAAGGCUCAAAGUCAGUAUUUCCAGAAUAGAGUCCUUUAGAAAAAAAAAAAGGAAAAUCCAGAGAAUGAAAUACGGCCAGAAUGAGCUCACUGCAGGUGGCGUUGGUCGUGACUCGCACAGAGGAUCUUCGCGUGUAAUGCCAUCUGAUUUCUCGCAAACCUGCAAGGCAGGCUGCUUCUCAGCAGUCUCUGUCUCUUGAUGCCGCACUCAUCCCACCGUUAGACAGGGAUCGUUGAAACAGAAGAAUAGAAAUGAUCGCUGGACCAUUUAAUGCAACCUUGUGUAUCACAUGAUGCAGGAAUUACUUAAUGAAAUUCCCUGGCCCAAACCAAGCAAAUCUGUGGUAAAUCUAGAGCACAUAUUUUAGGAUGACAGCCAAAAUGAUGAAAGGAAUUUACUACCCAGCCUUGCUAAUCAUUUUGAACGCUCAACUGGUCUCCCUAACAUGUAGCUUUGUAAGCAGCGAUACUAACACGGCCUCAUUUCCUACAGAUUCCUCCUCCAGACUUCCCACCCAUGCUGAGCACCCCAAAAAUCCCCUCCCAGUCCCCUCCCAGCUCUGCCGGGGCCGGGGGGCGAUGGGGCACGGAGCUCUCAUUCCUUGCUGCCAGCCUCCGGGAAGAGACGGAGGCCCCAGAUCGCAGCUGCCUCUCCUGCCACGCAGGUUUGGGGUGCUUCUCUUUCCCCAUUGUUUCCCUGAAGCUUACAGGCACUUAGUGUCUUUGAGAGGCCACCUACAAAUGUGGUAGAAAUUGGCUUUUGGGGUCAGAAGCCAUUUGAGAUGGGUUGAUCAAUAGGUGCUUUCUUUAGAAACCAAACUAGAAAUGGAAGGUAUUUGUGUCACUUUAGCUUCUAACCAUUAGAUCUCAUUUAUUUUUGUCUUGGCUAGAAUAAAAUGCAAAGAAGCACAGGGUAGCAUCUUUUUGUAUUACACAUGCAUGCCUUUGGGUUUGUCUCCUGCAGGGAUUUCCCUGGCCUGGUUGGUUGUGCCUUCAAGGUCUUGUACCAUGGCCUUGUUGACAGAUGACAUCCCACAUUUCCAACCUCAAGCUCCCUCUUGUGCCCCCCCAAAUAUGAACAUUCCUAAAAAAUGCACGUUCUGAAUUCUGGGAUUGUUUUUGAGUGUUAAAACACUUUAGAUAUCUUGAAGUACCUGAAACAGCUGCACAGGGCUGGCAGACAUGCCACAGCAGUCCAAGAAAGUUGCAUUUUCUAGCACAGAGCCUGGAGGCUGAGCUCGAAGUUGUACGACACUCCAAGUGACACUAAAUGCCAAUGUUUAGGUAACCAAGCCCCCUUCCCUUCCUCCCCCUCUCUUUGUCUUCACUUUGUUGACCUUUUAAGGAGGAUUUCUGUCAUGAUUUUAGACUUGUGACCGUAUACUAGAAAAUUAUUCUCCUAAUCAGAAGCUGUUUUUCAUUUUAUCAUAUGGAAAAUGUCACUCUCCCCCCAAGUAGAUGGGAAGAAGUGCCACUGUGUAACAGAACUGUGCCUUGCCUGGAAACUGCCAGCAUGGCAGGUGUUAGCCUCUUGCAGUUGCUGAGCUUCCCUCUAGAAACUGGGCAGAAACACAGCAAAUACCACAUUCACAAUUAUAAGAUUUGACAACACUGGAUAUACCCUUCUCUUAGUGCUCUCAGGCAGCUGUAACUCUGUAUGCAAAUGCCUGAUAAAUGAAAAUUUGUCCCAAGUAUAGCUGCAAGAUGGUUCUUUAAUUGUUUCUUGUCAGCAGCACAAAGCACAUCCUCUGUCAACACACCAUACAGGCACAACUUUGAUGGAAAGCUAAUUAAAUAAUUUGGGCAAUGUAACAGGAGUAUCAACUUCUGGUUAAUUUACUUUUCAGACUGCUAAACACACCUGCUUUUUUGUGAAGCUGUAUUUGGGUCACUUUGUAACAAGAGGAUCUUGGAAAGAGACUGUACUGAGCAGGCAUGAAGUGCUCUGCACCAGAGCAGGUUGUUCUUGUGACUGCUCAGAAGAUGACAGCUGCAGAAUUUGAAGCCAACGGGGCGCACUGUUAUCUCAGUAAAGGUUAAAGCAUUGAAAUAAAGAAGCCUUACUGAAGUAAUGCUUAUGUUCUCUGCAAAAACAUGCUCAGAUUUUAGCAGAUGUGAUGAUGUUGAGCCUUCCCGGUUGCCAACACCCCAUGGCUCUCCAACAUCUUUGAUUAUUUUAUUAUUCCAUACUGCCUGCACGUUGUAGGAGUCAGUGUUAUUUCUCCUAACAAUCCCUGGUUUCCAACUGGCAAUCCCUCUUUGACAUGCUGUUUUAAACAAGGGGUGAAGAGCAGUCAUGAAGCUGAAGGCCCACUGUAAAAGGACGGCAGCAUUCCAGGGCACUGACUGCACACAUAGCAGCGCACUUCGCUGUCCUGUUGCGGACUGCUGCUGUGAUAUGCCGAAGGUGUUAGUGGUAGUGGCUGUGCUGUAAGGAAGUGGAGCUCCAGAGACUUCGGAUCCAAGAGGCCUCUAAUUGAAGACAGUGUCUUUAUGCAAGACAGUCUAAGUAAAACUUGGGUUACUCCACCCUUCCCAUUCCUUGUUGUUCCCAGCAAUAAUAAAAACUGACGCAACGUAUAAGGUAGCCUUACAGAAGGCAAAUAUAUUUAAUAGUGCAUGUACAAAGUGACUGUAUGUUAAUGCUGUACACGGCAGGAAUGUCUAUGAAGAAACCCUGAGCACAAAGGAGGAUGUAAUUUUCAUUUUACACUUAUUGCAACAUUAUUUCUGGUAUUUGUUUGCUAUAUUGACUAAUAAAGGAAUAUGUUCAAAACA